Molecule: ribosomal RNA, 253 nt
Filed under: uncultured bacterium
Lineage: Bacteria
Description: partial 16S ribosomal RNA
Rfam family: Bacterial small subunit ribosomal RNA
Source: RNAcentral
UACGGGGGGAGCAAGCGUUGUUCGGAUUUACUGGGCGUAAAGGGCGCGUAGGCGGCCCCACAAGUCACUUGUGAAAUCUCCGGGCUUAACUCGGAACGGCCAAGUGAAACUGUGGAGCUAGAGUGUGGAAGGGGCAAUCGGAAUUCUUGGUGUAGCGGUGAAAUGCGUAGAUAUCAAGAGGAACACCUGAGGUGAAGACGGGUUGCUGGGCCAACACUGACGCUGAGGCGCGAAAGCCAGGGGAGCAAACAGG